AUUUUUUAAAGUUUUAAAGCUUUUAAAGCAAAAGCUGGCCCCUGCCCUCUCCCAGAGUGGGUGGGGACAGCGGUUUCAUGAUCAGCUUUCCUUGUGAUACCACAGGUCCCUCUGGACAUGCUGCUGCCUGGCCACGCCUUCUUUUGCUUUCAUCUUUCUCAUUGACCAAUGGGCUUGGAUCAUUAAGGCCACACCCCUAUUCUGCAUUCUAGUGGGGCCCUGGUUACGCCUCCUCUGGCUCAGUCACACAGCUGCCUGGUAGGUGACUGGAGGUAUUUGGCAGUCAUUGCUGGGAUUUUGCUGAUAUGGCACCAACCCUGCCUGCCUUCCCACCUCAUGAUGGCUGAAGAAACUCAACAGAGCAAAUUGGCUGCAGCCAAGAAAAAGUUAAAAGAGUAUCAGCAGAGGAACAGCCCUGGUGUUCCAGCAGGAGUGAAGAGAAAAAAGAAAAACACAGCAGUAACCCUGAGACAACCACUUCUGGUGCUUUCCACUCACCUGGAGAUUCAACAGUGCAAAGGCAGAUAUUGCAUCUCAGACAUAUGUUUGUGACAUGAGAGCAGGAAAUGAAGUCACAGCCUCCUCUAUGAAUGGAAUCACAGCGAUGUGAAGAGAGGGAGUGGUGACAGAACUGAAAUACCCCACAUGGCUCCCAUGGCCCGGGUUCUCAUAGCCCAAAACACCAUGAGCCACGGCACUCAGAGCCUUGGGCGCGCCCACGCCAGUCAUUGAUAUCAUCGCAUCAAAACAGCAGCGUUUGUCAUGUUAAAGCAUACUAGUUAAUUUAAACUGUAUCUGGCUUUAUGGCCUUAUUUGUAUUGUAUUGCAAUUUCUAGUUUUAGAAAUCUAUAAUACUAUAAGCAUAAAAUGAUCUUGAUGCUCAUUUCACUGACUAAUAAAAAUGAUUUAAUUGGCCCCGGUGCAGUGGCUCACACCUGUAAUGCUAGCACUUUGGGAGGCCAAGGCGGGUGGAUCACAAGGUCAGGAAUUCGACACCAGCCUGGCCAACAUAGUGAAACCCAGUCUCUACUAAAAAUACAAAAAAAUUAGCCAGGUGUGGUGGUGGGCACUUAUGUAAUCCCAGCUAUUCAGAAGGCUGAAACAGGAGAAUCACUUGAACCCAGCAGGUGGAGGUUGCAGUGAGCUGAAAUCGCAUCAUUGGACUCCAGCCUAGGUGACAGUGCGAGACUCAGUCUCAAAAAAAAAAAAAAAAAGAUUUAAUUUUUAAUUGGAUACCUGGGGGUCAUUCAACUUCUUCCCUCUAAAAGCUGUUCAAAUGUUGUUUGAGUUUGAGAAGAUACAUUAAACCUGCUGUCCCCAACAUUGAUGGAAGAUGGAACAAUGGGUAUCAUUAUCCACCCUCAUUUUUUUUAAUGAAGGAGUUGGAGUUCCACACAGAAGAACUUGCUCAAUAUCAUUCUUCUCAUCUAUGUUUGAACUAGAACCAGAGUCCCAAGUCUUCUAGGGUAGUAGAGGGAAGUCUAGAGAAAAGGUUGCAAACUGGUGGUCCAUAGGCAAACUUCGGUCUCUUCCUACAAAGUAUUAAAAAAUUAAGAUCAUUCACAUUAAAAAUCCCGAUUUUCCAGCUUCUCUUGAAAAAUUAGACCUGAUGACAGUGACCCACAUUCCUACAUGACAAACAGUGGUCAGGAUUUGGACCCAUUGCUCUGCAUCAGGGGGGCUCAGACCUACCUCAGGGCCUCUCUCAAAUCUCCCGGGCUUCUGCUCCAAGGCAAAGUCUGAUUGAGCAGGUUUGCGGUGGGGCCUGAGAUUCUAACAGGCUCCCAGGUGGUGUGAAUACUCCUGGUCCAGACAUCUGACUCUGAUCUCUUCUGCCUCCAUCUUUCACUUUUAAGGACCUCUCUGCUUACACUGGCCCCAUUUGGAUAAUCCAGGAUCGUCUCCUUUUAUAAAGUCAGAUGACUAGCAACCUUAAUUCCAUCCGCAACCUUAGUUCCCCUUUGCCAUGUCACCAAACAUAUUCACAAAUUCUGAGGAUUAGGUCCUGGGCAUCUUUGGCGAGCCAUUAUUCUGCCCACUACAUUCAGUAAAUAUGCAUUAUUUUGCUAUUCAAAUUAAAUUAAUUUCACCUUUCUACCCUGCCCAAAGCCUUGGUCAGAUAGGCAAGGUCAUUAACAUCUGGUUCCUCUAGCCCUCAGUAAUGUCAACUCAGGUCCUUAUUUGUUUUUCUCAGUAAAACCAACAGUAGCCAGCUGUUAUCUUGUGGCUUUAUAUAGACAGGCUGAUGACAGGGAAAUAGAUUGGCCAUGAAAAGUUCUACAAAGCCAGUGAGCACCCAGUCAAGGCCAAUACCAGCUCAGGGGAGCUCAGACAGUUGAGAAGGUUAAGAAUGAAUAUCUAAUUUUAAAAUCAGAUGGCCAGGCAUCAUGGCUCAUCCUUGCAAUCCCAGCACUUUGGAAGGCCAAGGUGGGCAGUGGGCAGACCGCUUGAGUCCAGGAAUUUGAGACCAGCAUUCCCAACAUGGUGAAACCCUAUCUCUACCAGGAAAAAAUACACACAUACACACAUAUCCAGAAGCAUAUAUAUCUGUGUGUGUGUGUGUGUGUGUGUGUGUGUGUGUUUGUGUGUGUGUAUGUAUAUAUAUACACGAAGUUAUCUGGGUGUGAUGGCACACACCUCUAGUCCCAGCUACUUUGGAGGCCGAAGUGGGAGGAUUGCUUGAGCUUGGGAGGUUGAAGCUGCAGUGAGCUAUGAUUUCACCACUGCACUCCAGCUGGGAAGACACAGCAAGAUCCUCUCUUAAAAUAAUAAUAAACCAGAGCUUAACCAGAGCUUAAGCUCUGAUUUAUUAUCAUUAUUUAUAGAAGUGAGGUGCCUCCCACACCCACUGUGGAGCUGGAACCACAGUGGCCUUCUGACUGUCCCCACCUACUCCCUUGGAAGAAAGGGAAGAGGCGAGUCUUCAGGCCAACAUGGGUUUGUACAUAGGCUCCUUCACCCACAGGCUAUGUGACCUGGGGAGAAGGAUUAACUCCCCUGGGCGUCCUUUUCCCCAUCUGUAGGAUGGGGAAAACUUUGCAAGGCUGUUGUAAGAACUUGCGAUGACAUUUGGCACAGGGCAGAUGCUCAGGGCUCCUGAGCAGUGACAUUACAUCUCAUCCUCGGGUCCCCUGCAGCCUGAUACAUCCCAGAAAGAGUCAUCUUCUGCUUCUGUGCUUUUGGUUUUCACUUCUCCAUCCCUUUGCCCACAACCUGUUUCUUGCCCUCUGCAGGUUGAAUGAUCUCGAAGGCAUUUCACACUACAGUCUCAAAUUACUUUUUUAAAAUCCUUUUGCUUCCACUAAUAAUGAAUAAAUACUUUGACGGUGUAAAAUAUUCUAACAAUACAGAAAUGAAUUUAUAAAGAGUAAAAUAUGCAAGUCCCUCUUAACUCUCACUCACUGCCCCAGACAACCUCUGCCAAUAGUUUGGUGUAUAUUCAUCUGCCCUUUGUAUUCAUUUGCAUAUAUGUACA
Molecule: long non-coding RNA, 3475 nt
Filed under: Macaca fascicularis (crab-eating macaque)
Lineage: Eukaryota; Metazoa; Chordata; Mammalia; Primates; Cercopithecidae
Description: lncRNA (ENSMFAG00000059223.1)
Source: RNAcentral